Molecule: ribosomal RNA, 912 nt
Filed under: uncultured soil bacterium
Lineage: Bacteria
Description: bacterial SSU rRNA
Rfam family: Bacterial small subunit ribosomal RNA
Source: RNAcentral
AGAGUUUGAUCCUGGCUCAGAAUCAACGCUGGCGGCGCGCCUAACACAUGCAAGUCGAACGAGAAAGUGGAGCAAUCCAUGAGUAAAGUGGCGUACGGGUGAGUAACACGUGGAUUAUCUGCCCUUUAGUGGGGAAUACCGCUGGGAAACCGGCGACAAUACCGCAUAAGCUCGAGAGAGGAAAGCAGCAAUGCGCUGAAGGAGGAGUCCGCGGUCGAUUAGCUAGUUGGUAGGGUAAUGGCCUACCAAGGCUGUGAUCGAUAGCCGGCCUGAGAGGGCACACGGCCACACUGGCACUGAAACACGGGCCAGACUCCUACGGGAGGCAGCAGUGGGGAAUCUUGCACAAUGGGGGCAACCCUGAUGCAGCGACGCCGCGUGAGCGAUGAAGCCCUUCGGGGUGUAAAGCUCUUUCGGCAGGGAAGAUUAUGACGGUACCUGCAGAAGCAGCUGCGGCUAACUACGUGCCAGCAGCCGCGGUAAUACGUUAAGCAGCAAGCGUUGUUCGGAGUUACUGGGCGUAAAGGGUGCGUAGGCGCGGCUUCAUAAGUAUGGUGUGAAAUCUCCCGGCUUAACUGGGAGGGUGCGCUAUAGACUGCCGGGCUAGAGUGUGGGAGAGGAAAGUGGAAUUCCUGGUGUAGCGGUGAAAUGCGUAGAUAUCAGAGGAACACCGGUGGUGUAAACGGCUUUCUGGACCAUAACUGACGCUGAGGCACGAAAGCGUGGGUAGCGACCAGGAUUAGAUACCCUGGUAGUCCACGCCCUAAACGAUGCAUAUUUGGUGUGGGUCAUUCAGUUGAUCCGUGCCGGAGCUAACGCGUUAAAUAUGCCGCCUGGGGAGUACAGUCGCAAGGCUGAAACUCAAAGGAAUUGACGGGGCCCGCACAGCGUGGAGCAUGUGGUUUAAUUCGA